Molecule: transfer RNA, 72 nt
Filed under: Daphnia pulex (common water flea)
Lineage: Eukaryota; Metazoa; Arthropoda; Branchiopoda; Diplostraca; Daphniidae
Rfam family: tRNA
About the family: Transfer RNA (tRNA) molecules are approximately 80 nucleotides in length. Their secondary structure includes four short double-helical elements and three loops (D, anti-codon, and T loops).
Source: Rfam by way of RNAcentral
GCCGCAAUCGUAUAGUGGUCAUUACGCUUCAUUGUGACUGAAGUAACCCAGGUUCAAAUCCUGGUUGUGGCA